RNAcentral lists this ribosomal RNA (253 nucleotides) under uncultured bacterium. Its description in RNAcentral is "partial 16S ribosomal RNA". It matches the Rfam family "Bacterial small subunit ribosomal RNA", at positions 524 to 776 of the family's 1533-position model. The record is from RNAcentral.
UACGUAGGUGACAAGCGUUGUCCGGAUUUACUGGGCGUAAAGAGCGCGCAGGCGGUCGUUCAAGUCGAGUGUGAAAGCCCCCGGCUCAACUGGGGAGGGUCAUUCGAUACUGAUCGACUCGAAGGCAGGAGAGGGUAGUGGAAUUCCCGGUGUAGUGGUGAAAUGCGUAGAUAUCGGGAGGAACACCGGUGGCGAAGGCGGUUCUCUGGGCCUUACCUGACGCUGAGGAGCGAAAGCGUGGGGAGCGAACAGG